GCGGCCGAGACAGCAUCACACACUUACACACUCACAGGGGGCGGAGCCUGGACAGCUCGAAGCCGCGACAUGGAGCAGACACGGGGACAGAGCAGAAGCAGAAGGAGCCAGCAAGAGGCACCACUCUGAACAGAAGUGCCUGCGGGAAGGAGAGAAGAGACAAGUGGUGCUGGCUGCUGCUUCAAAGAGGGGCAGGGGUUUUCUGUUCCUGAGAUCAAAACCAAGUUAGAAGGUAUGGAAGCAGCUCCCCUCCCCACCACCUUAACAGAGAGGAGACUAAAAGAGGCAACACAGAAGUGGCCAGGCUGUCCCUGAUGCCAGCAACUCAGGUCCAGCACACACUAAGUGGG
This 350-nucleotide long non-coding RNA is filed under the name Mus pahari (shrew mouse). RNAcentral's name for it is "lncRNA (MGP_PahariEiJ_G0004013.1)". The record is from RNAcentral. Lineage: Eukaryota; Metazoa; Chordata; Mammalia; Rodentia; Muridae.